GGCCACCAAACAAGCACAUUAUGAAGGCUUAAAAAAUAAAAGGUGUUAAUCCCAUUAAUAUUCUGAUUCUCAAUACUCUCUGCUGCUCUGUAGAUUGUCUGCUUGAGGUGGCAUUGUAAUAUUUUAGCAUAAAUGUCUGAAUCAAACGUUGAGUUUUGACAUAUUAAAUUUCUCACAGGUUUUAUUUUUACAGUUGCGACCUUCAGUACCUAUCCUGUGUCUUUUAAGAAUUUCCUCAGCCAGGGAACAGAUUCGUUCGUUUAAGAGUAACUGUAAAGAAUCUGCAAGAGCUUCCAUCAUCCGUCACUAAAAGAAUUAAACCUCGCUGCACUCCAGCUAGCUAGGUAAGUUGCAUUAGCCCUACAGAUCAGAGUAGCUGUGAUGUAGGAAGGUGGGGUGGGCAUUUCCUAAGACCUGCCACUGACAGACCUGUCAUUGGCUCAUCUUGGAAUAGAUGCCAGGUCUCUCACUUCCCAUUCCCUGACUUAUCGUCAACACAGUGCAUCUAUUUGAUUACAUAAUGGGGGAAUUACUUUUCUGAAAUG
This 545-nucleotide long non-coding RNA is filed under the name Numida meleagris (helmeted guineafowl). RNAcentral's name for it is "lncRNA (ENSNMEG00000018470.1)". The record is from RNAcentral. Lineage: Eukaryota; Metazoa; Chordata; Aves; Galliformes; Numididae.